CGUUCUCAGGGCGGAGUGAAAUUCUCCACCGGUGGUGAUUUUAAUAAAAUAAGUCCACGAGCAUGAUAAUGUUGAUUUGGUGAAAUUCCAAAACCGACGGUGAUAGUCCGGAUGGAAGAGAAG
Molecule: non-coding RNA, 123 nt
Filed under: uncultured Methanobrevibacter sp.
Lineage: Archaea; Methanobacteriati; Methanobacteriota; Methanobacteria; Methanobacteriales; Methanobacteriaceae
Description: FMN riboswitch (RFN element)
Rfam family: FMN riboswitch aptamer (RFN element)
About the family: The RFN element is a highly conserved domain that is found frequently in the 5'-untranslated regions of prokaryotic mRNAs that encode for flavin mononucleotide (FMN) biosynthesis and transport proteins. This element is a metabolite-dependent riboswitch that directly binds FMN in the absence of proteins.
Source: RNAcentral